AAAACACACUGGAGUUUUGGGAAGUAAUAAGAAUUCUUGAGAGCAUUCACUCAAAUUUUUCCCUCUUGCGUUCUUAUUUUCUACGAUUAUCAGAAGCUCGAUUGGUUUGGAAGCUCAUCAGAGAUCUAUCACACUAUCCAACAUAAAUAUCAGUAGAUUUUGAAUACUUUAGCCAAGGUUAUAAUGGCAUGUAUAGGUUGAAUUGUAAUGUCAUUAUGAUGAAUGUUUAAUUGGUAGAUUGACUUGUAAAA
Molecule: long non-coding RNA, 251 nt
Organism: Gossypium arboreum
Lineage: Eukaryota; Viridiplantae; Streptophyta; Magnoliopsida; Malvales; Malvaceae
Exons: 2
Source: RefSeq, a predicted model, not a curated record